CGGGACACGUGGUAUCCUGUCUGAAUAUGGGGGGACCAUCCUCCAAGGCUAAAUACUCCUGACUGACCGAUAGUGAACCAGUACCGUGAGGGAAAGGCGAAAAGAACCCCGGCGAGGGGAGUGAAAAAGAACCUGAAACCGUGUACGUACAAGCAGUGGGAGCACGCUUCGGCGUGUGACUGCGUACCUUUUGUAUAAUGGGUCAGCGACUUAUAUUCUGUAGCAAGGUUAACCGAAUAGGGGAGCCGAAGGGAAACCGAGUCUUAACUGGGCGUUAAGUUGCAGGGUAUAGACCCGAAACCCGGUGAUCUAGCCAUGGGCAGGUUGAAGGUUGGGUAACACUAACUGGAGGACCGAACCGACUAAUGUUGAAAAAUUAGCGGAUGACUUGUGGCUGGGGGUGAAAGGCCAAUCAAACCGGGAGAUAGCUGGUUCUCCCCGAAAGCUAUUUAGGUAGCGCCUCGUGAAUUCAUCUCCGGGGGUAGAGCACUGUUUCGGCAAGGGGGUCAUCCCGACUUACCAACCCGAUGCAAACUGCGAAUACCGGAGAAUGUUAUCACGGGAGACACACGGCGGGUGCUAACGUCCGUCGUGAAGAGGGAAACAACCCAGACCGCCAGCUAAGGUCCCAAAGUCAUGGUUAAGUGGGAAACGAUGUGGGAAGGCCCAGACAGCCAGGAUGUUGGCUUAGAAGCAGCCAUCAUUUAAAGAAAGCGUAAUAGCUCACUGGUCGAGUCGGCCUGCGCGGAAGAUGUAACGGGGCUAAACCAUGCACCGAAGCUGCGGCAGCGACACUAUGUGUUGUUGGGUAGGGGAGCG
RNAcentral lists this ribosomal RNA (819 nucleotides) under Escherichia coli. RNAcentral's name for it is "partial 23S ribosomal RNA". It matches the Rfam family "Bacterial large subunit ribosomal RNA", at positions 418 to 1238 of the family's 2925-position model. Lineage: Bacteria; Pseudomonadati; Pseudomonadota; Gammaproteobacteria; Enterobacterales; Enterobacteriaceae. The record is from RNAcentral.